Molecule: ribosomal RNA, 448 nt
Filed under: uncultured bacterium
Lineage: Bacteria
Description: bacterial SSU rRNA
Rfam family: Bacterial small subunit ribosomal RNA
Source: RNAcentral
AAUCAACGCUGGCGGCGUGCCUAACACAUGCAAGUCGAACGCGAAAGGGGAGCAAUCCCUGAGUAGAGUGGCAAACGGGUGAGUAACACGUGGGUGACCUGCCUUCGAGUGGGGAUAACGUCCCGAAAGGGACGCUAAUACCGCAUGACAUCCUGCUCUUGGAAGAGCGGAGAUCAAAGCUGGGGAUCGCAAGACCUGGCGCUUGAAGAGGGCCCGCGCCUGAUUAGCUAGUUGGUAGGGUAAUGGCCUACCAAGGCAACGAUCAGUAUCCGGCCUGAGAGGGCGGACGGACACACUGGGACUGAGACACGGCCCAGACUCCUACGGGAGGCAGCAGUGGGGAAAUUGUUCGCAAUGGGCGCAAGCCUGACGACGCAACGCCGCGUGGAGGACGAAGAUCUUCGGGUCGUAAACUCCUGUCGAGUGGGAAGAAUGGAUCAGGGUGAAU